UCGAUGUUCGGGGCCGCACGCGCGCCACACUGAAGGAAUCAGCGUGUGCUUUCCCUGUCCGGUAGGACUGGGUAACCCGCUGAACCUCCUUCGUGAUAGGGAUAGGGGCUUGUAAUUGUUCCCCUUGAACGAGGAAUCCCCAGUAAGCACGAGUCAUAAGCUCGUGUUGAUUACGUCCCUGCCCUUUGUCCACACCGCCCGUCGCUACUACCGAUUGAAUGAUUUAGUGAGGUCUUCGGACUGGCGCUCGUACUCGGCCUUUGGCCGGGCCGUAGUGCCGGAAAGAUGACCGAACUUGAUCAUUUAGAGGAAGUAAAAGUCGUAACAAGGUAUCC
RNAcentral lists this ribosomal RNA (335 nucleotides) under Belisana leuser. RNAcentral's name for it is "SSU rRNA". It matches the Rfam family "Eukaryotic small subunit ribosomal RNA", at positions 1474 to 1804 of the family's 1831-position model. Lineage: Eukaryota; Metazoa; Arthropoda; Arachnida; Araneae; Pholcidae. The record is from RNAcentral.